Long non-coding RNA from Amphiprion ocellaris (clown anemonefish), 563 nucleotides. The record is from Ensembl. NCBI's taxonomy places the organism in Eukaryota, Metazoa, Chordata, Actinopteri, Pomacentridae.
AGACCAUAGACGUAUAGAAGACAGCGCGCUAGCGGAUCUAGUCUGCUAUAUAUGUCUAUGGUCGGAACGUGUGGUAGCAUCUCUGGCUGCUGUUGACCUUGUUUUUGGAGUAAAACACGGUGGAAGCUGAAUUAGUGAGGAUGACUCCUGCUCCUGUCAUCUCUAAGCUCCUCACACAUCUUUUACCUGCACAUGAGGAAAAUCACUCCUGUAGAAUGCAGGUAUGUUUGUCAUUAUUAUAAAAAGAUGUUGCCUGGUGACCUGUCAGAAACCCAUCAUACAGAGUCAGCCAAAAUAAUGUUUACACACAUCAGGAAAAGAAAAACUUGCAUAAAUAUUUCAAUACCAAAUUUAUUCAGACAUCAUGAGAGUAAUAAAAGUUAUCUUUGGCCUCUACAAUUACAAGAGGUGCUCAAAGUGGUGGCCACUGGCUUCCAGACAUUUCUGUUGUGUUGUAGACAUCACUUGUUGAUGCUCCAUUCAUGAGGGUAGCGCCAUCUGUUGGGAAAACAUCGUACAACAGGACACAGAGUUAUCGUACUUUGAUCAAACUUAGAAAGAGG